AUUGAACGCUGGCGGCAUGCCUUACACAUGCAAGUCGAACGGUAACAGGUUAAGCUGACGAGUGGCGAACGGGUGAGUAAUAUAUCGGAACGUGCCCAGUAGUGGGGGAUAGCCCGGCGAAAGCCGGAUUAAUACCGCAUACGACCUUCGGGUGAAAGUGGGGGAUCGCAAGACCUCACGCUCCUGGAGCGGC
RNAcentral lists this ribosomal RNA (193 nucleotides) under uncultured bacterium. RNAcentral describes it as "partial 16S ribosomal RNA". It matches the Rfam family "Bacterial small subunit ribosomal RNA", at positions 30 to 230 of the family's 1533-position model. The record is from RNAcentral.